CCUUAGAGUGCAAAAGCAGUGCCUUACAAACUUAAGCAGGCUUCAGAUUAGCUGAGAUGUUUGUUUAAAAGGCAGAUUCUGGGACCCAUUCCUGAUUCAGGAAUAGCAGCUGACCAUGGAGAUAUACUGCCAUCAGAGUUUCUUUGAAAUUUUGUGUGGAGUGUACAAAGAACAACAGGAGGUCAGCACUUAUGAACAAGUGUAACUCUUUAUUAAGAUAGAAUUGUUCUUAUUCAAGAAAUAGAUGAAAAUGGUUAAGUACAAUUAAAUGGCUCCAAAAGUCUUACAAUGAAAACAACAGUCCUGCCAGUUAUUCUUUCCAGAGGCAAAUACUUUUCAUUCUUAGUUUUUCCUUCUGUUAGUUACCUUCAUGGGUUUUUCCAAAUUGUUAUCUUUUUAGUUUUUCAAGUGAAUGCAUAUAUUAAUACCUAAAAUUUUAAAAAGCUUCAGUUUAUAAUGCAUCCUAACAGUCCCCUGCCCCAUCCCUCCUAAUUCUCCAGAGCAAUGACUUUUAACUCUUCCAGCAAUGUCUUCUGUUUUUACCCUCACAUAACUACUUAGUCAUUUCUUGAUUAUUUUAUACAUUAUAUAGUGAUUUCUGGAUAUGACAGGUGAGGAUUUAGCUCUUACACCAUUGUUAUCUUCACUUCCUCCCAUAUUGUCCCAAAGUGGUUACCAUAUUUAGGGGCUAAGCAGUCACCACAUCAUUAUGACUGUGUAUGUAUUGCUCCUUGUUGAGAAAAACAGCGUAUUAUGCUCUUCCUAUCCUGUACUUCUUUCUGCCCUAAAAUUAAUGAUUGCCUAACCAACCCUUCCCCCUUAUUUUUUUACUUUUGCUUUAUCUUCAAUGAACUUCUUUCCAAAUGCCCCAAAUUUGGCAAUAACUUAUUAUUUUUAAGAGAAGAGAUCUCACUAAGGUAGCCAGGCUUGUCUGCAACUCUUGGGCUCAAGCCAUCCUCUUGCUGAGCCUCCUGAGUAGCUGGGACUACAGGCAUGGGCCAUUCCACCCAGCUAACCUAUUAAUAUUUUUACUGUUUCUUUUUAAGCCAGCUCCAUAGCUGGAAUAUUGCCUGUGUUGGAUCCUAUUUGCUGGAUCUAUGUCAUUCUCUGGUUUGUGUACUCCUUCACUUUGCUGGAGUAUUUUCUCCAAUAGCU
This is a non-coding RNA of Chlorocebus sabaeus (green monkey), 1155 nucleotides long. The record is from RefSeq and is a predicted model, not a curated record. Lineage: Eukaryota; Metazoa; Chordata; Mammalia; Primates; Cercopithecidae.